RNAcentral lists this long non-coding RNA (668 nucleotides) under Homo sapiens (human). RNAcentral's name for it is "HSALNT0060647". Lineage: Eukaryota; Metazoa; Chordata; Mammalia; Primates; Hominidae. The record is from RNAcentral.
GAGCUGUUGCAACUGGUGAUAUUGGCAGAGUCUGGCCUGGAACUAAAAUGCCUGGAAAAAUGGGAAACAUAUACAGGACAGAAUAUGGACUGAAAGUGUGGAGAAUAAACACAAAGCACAACAUAAUCUAUGUAAAUGGCUCUGUACCUGGACAUAAAAAUUGCUUAGUAAAGGUCAAAGAUUCUAAACUGCCUGCAUAUAAGGAUCUCGGUAAAAAUCUACCAUUCCCUACAUAUUUUCCUGAUGGAGAUGAAGAGGAACUGCCAGAAGAUUUGUAUGAUGAAAACGUGUGUCAGCCCGGUGCGCCUUCUAUUACAUUUGCCUAACAUCUUUGGACGUGGCAGAACCUUACAUAUUCUGUGAGCUUCGAUGAGCCAGAGUGAUAUCAUAACCACCAGAAAUCAUACUCUCCUUUCUUAGUCACAACAAAAUCACACAUGUCAUCUUUGUCAAGGGCAUAAAUAUAUCAUUCAUACCCCCAUUAAAUUUUGUUAGAAAAAUUACCACAUUAAAUAUAUGAGUUAAGUAGAUUGGAUUUGCUGAAAUUGGUGUUGGGCAUAUUAGCAAAAUAUUCUUAAUUUGUGGACUCGAUUCUUUUUUACUACAUAUUUCCCAAGUUAUCUUAAGAUGUCUGUAAAUUUAACUUUUAUUAAAGUUUUGUCAAUCUU